Molecule: ribosomal RNA, 552 nt
Filed under: uncultured bacterium
Lineage: Bacteria
Description: partial 16S ribosomal RNA
Rfam family: Bacterial small subunit ribosomal RNA
Source: RNAcentral
UGGGGAAUUUUGGACAAUGGGCGCAAGCCUGAUCCAGCCAUGCCGCGUGCGGGAAGAGGGCCUUCGGGUUGUAAACCGCUUUUGUCAGGGAAGAAAUCUUCUGAGUUAAUACCUCGGGAGGAUGACGGUACCUGAAGAAUAAGCACCGGCUAACUACGUGCCAGCAGCCGCGGUAAUACGUAGGGUGCAAGCGUUAAUCGGAAUUACUGGGCGUAAAGCGUGCGCAGGCGGUUUUGUAAGACAGAGGUGAAAUCCCCGGGCUCAACCUGGGAACUGCCUUUGUGACUGCAAGGCUUGAGUGCGGCAGAGGGGGAUGGAAUUCCGCGUGUAGCAGUGAAAUGCGUAGAUAUGCGGAGGAACACCGAUGGCGAAGGCAAUCCCCUGGGCCUGCACUGACGCUCAUGCACGAAAGCGUGGGGAGCAAACAGGAUUAGAUACCCUGGUAGUCCACGCCCUAAACGAUGUCAACUGGUUGUUGGGAAGGUUCCUUCUCAGUAACGUAGCUAACGCGUGAAGUUGACCGCCUGGGGAGUACGGCCGCAAGGUUGAAAC